AUGGUUGGCGGUGAUUUCAACAUGAUUGCCUCUGCGGCGGAUAAGAACAACGACAGAUUGCACCACCGUUCCAUGCGUCGCUUCCGUAGUUUCCUGGCGGACGAGGAGCUCCGGGACCUUUACCUCCAUGGUAGGCGCUAUACCUGGUCCAGUGAGCGCGAUCCGCCCACGCUUGUUCGCAUCGAUCGUGUGCUCACUUCCCUGAGUUGGGAGACCCUCCAUCCGCACUGCUUCAUGCGUUGCCUCUCCUCGGCCGCCUUAGAUACGCCCCCUUUGUCGGCAUUCUGGGAACGGGGGUACCCAGACUUGCCUGCCUGCGGCCUGCGGCGUGGCUCAAGGAGUGGCCCAGUACGGCCCAUCUUCAUCAACACACGCUCAAGACCCUCGCGAGGGGCCAAGCCUCGUGGGGCGGACGACGGGAGGCUUCCUUAG
Molecule: ribosomal RNA, 432 nt
Filed under: Triticum aestivum (bread wheat)
Lineage: Eukaryota; Viridiplantae; Streptophyta; Magnoliopsida; Poales; Poaceae
Description: partial small subunit ribosomal RNA
Source: RNAcentral